RNAcentral lists this ribosomal RNA (216 nucleotides) under Campeiostachys nutans. RNAcentral's name for it is "Elymus nutans partial small subunit ribosomal RNA". The stretch from base 38 to 216 matches the Rfam family "Eukaryotic small subunit ribosomal RNA", at positions 684 to 864 of the family's 1831-position model. The record is from RNAcentral. Lineage: Eukaryota; Viridiplantae; Streptophyta; Magnoliopsida; Poales; Poaceae.
GGACCAUCAUGUCGGUCGUGCCAUUGGUACGUACUAGUAUUAUUGGUUUCUCCCUUCUGAUGAAUCAUGAUGUCAUUAAUUUGAUGUCAUGGGGAAUCAGGACUGUUACUUUGAAAAAAUUAGAGUGUUUAAAGCAAGCUAACGCUUGAAUACAUUAGCAUGGAAUAAUGAAAUAGGACGUUUGACCCUAUUUUGUUGGUUUCUAGGAUCGACGUA